Molecule: non-coding RNA, 42 nt
Filed under: Alexandrium minutum
Lineage: Eukaryota; Dinophyceae; Gonyaulacales; Pyrocystaceae
Source: RNAcentral
UUUUUUUUUUUUUUUUUUUUUUUUUUUUUUUUUUUUUUUCCU